RNAcentral lists this ribosomal RNA (423 nucleotides) under uncultured bacterium. RNAcentral's name for it is "bacterial SSU rRNA". It matches the Rfam family "Bacterial small subunit ribosomal RNA", at positions 355 to 775 of the family's 1533-position model. The record is from RNAcentral.
UAAGGAAUAUUGGUCAAUGGACGCAAGUCUGAACCAGCCAUGCCGCGUGAAGGAUGAAGGCCCUCUGGGUUGUAAACUUCUUUUACAGGGGACGAAAAAAGGGAAUUAUUUCUCACUUGACGGUACCCUGGGAAUAAGCACCGGCUAACUCCGUGCCAGCAGCCGCGGUAAUACGGAGGGUGCAAGCGUUAUCCGGAUUUACUGGGUUUAAAGGGUGCGUAGGUGGGUAUUUAAGUCAGCGGUGAAAUCUCCAGGCUUAACCUGGAAAUUGCCAUUGAUACUAUUUAUCUUGAAUUAUCUGGAGGUGAGCGGAAUAUGUCAUGUAGCGGUGAAAUGCUUAGAUAUGACAUAGAACACCAAUUGCGAAGGCAGCUCACUACGGAUAUAUUGACACUGAGGCACGAAAGCGUGGGGAUCAAACAG